Molecule: long non-coding RNA, 2646 nt
Organism: Aegilops tauschii subsp. strangulata
Lineage: Eukaryota; Viridiplantae; Streptophyta; Magnoliopsida; Poales; Poaceae
Source: RefSeq, a predicted model, not a curated record
GUGUGCUCGGGAUCAAUUCCUCCGCGUCCACGCAAGAGGCGAAAUUUUCGGCUAAGAUAGGACUCAUCCUCCCGUUGCGCCGCCCGAACCAAAAAUCCCCCCUUCUCCCCCCAAGUCCGAUGCGCCGCCGUGCGCCGCCCCUCCCCGUCCUACAGCACUUCCUCUUCGUCCCCUUCUCUAGCUCGUCAUCAAGCUCUCCCAGCUUACUCCGGACCAACACCACCACCGAGGGCCACGUCUCCCUACCUACUCGGUCUGACCCCAGUGGAAGGAGCGGCGGCUGGCGAUGGCAGCCGAGGCGAGGAGCUGGCCAGGCCUCCCAAGAAGUGCCGGAUCGAGUCGCGCAACAACAGAUCUCGCAGUCGCAAGGUUGCUGGGAGGAGCGCCGCUGCCAGCGCUUCGCGGACGAAGCGGCUCCCAAUGCAAAGUUCGAUUUCUCGAUUUUUUUUAUCUUCAUGUUCGUGAAGGCCAAGACAUGGACCAUAUACACAAGUACCCAUCUCAGUAUAGCGAUUUUUUGAUAGGCACCUAGCACAUUUCUUAACACGCUUAGAACAACGGUAUGGCUAUUAAUUCAGCAAUGAUAUUACCCCCUCAGUCCUAUAUUUAUUUGCAAUAUGCUUACUGGCUUUCUCUUGGCUGAAGAAUUCGGUGAACUAAAUAUGCCUCGCCUACACAAAUGUACUGUCCUUCCAAGACCAUCUAAUUCACCUUUUAUUUUCUGUUUAGAUCAUACAAGGUACUGCUGCUGCUGAAAUCCCGUGCACCUGUCUUUGAACACUGAGUGAAGGAGUCAGCUGGCAAAAUGCCAGAAGUAAAAGGUGAGCUUUCUUACUCAGCCAAUGGCCUCACUGCAUAGCUCCUUCAUAUGUGACAUAAAUUUGCAACACAAUUUGCCUAACUCAGUCAUGUUCUUGCAGUCCAAUAAUUUCCACCAAAGUUUUAGUUGAAUAUAUGGCGCAUUCAGGUAUAUAAGACAUCAUGAUCGCAAAUAGAAAGUUUAUAUGUGAUUACGAGACAUCAUGAUCACAAUUUGCUUAACUCAGUCAUGUUCUUGCAGUCCAAUAAAGUACCAAAAAAGUUUUAGCUGAAUAUAUGGCGCAUUCAGGUAUAUAAGACAUUAUGAUUACAAAUAGAGUUUAUAUGUGAUUAUGAGACAUCAUGAUAUAAAAAAGAGCACAUAAGUGUUAAUUGAAGCAACAGGAGAAUCAUGUUUGGGACCUUAAAAUUACUUCUGACUAAAAUGGUAACAUGUAGGCUCAUCAUGAUUUUAAUUGCUUCUGACUAAAAUGGUAACAACUAAUUACACUUUAUGUAUUGCUUACUUCAACAUGUAAAAGCUUGGUCAAUGCUUCACAACGAUAUGAUGGUAGGAACCCUCUCAUAUUCAACCACAGUUGGCAAACUAUGGAAGGAGCUUCUGGAUGUUCCUUGUGAUGCUCGUUGGAUGUUUCCACGGUACACCAUAGAUGAAACAGAGACUGACAUUAUUAUGAGAUACUUCCAAAUAAAACUUGUGUCUAGUGAUGGCUUUUGAAUAUCAUGUGCUUCCAAAAGCUUUGUUUGUGCAACCUAUGACUUUUGAAAGUUUUCCUUGUAACUUAAUUCAAGCAAACUAUCAUUUUGAACUAUUUGUUGGGCAUGCAAAAGAUUGUUCAAUGUGAAAGGUUUUCAGAAGAGAAGUGGAAAAAGAUUACUAUUUGCCAAAUGGAAAUGGCUCAGAGAUGAGGUGUCUUCCUGUGUUCACAUAUUUUUCCCUAUUACUAUUUCUUGGACGCCAUAGUGAUCAAAGAAUUUGAGUUGCAGCAAAAUCUAUCAAUGAAAGUACUUGUUCACAAACGGUAGCUUUUUACUCUGAUAUAAAACCUAAUUUUGGGUAUGAUCAGUUCAGAUUUUUGUAAAUGCUGUGUGCUUCCUUUUCAUUUAUCAAUCCUAUAUGUGUGUGGCGUGUUAGACUUUAAUUCUUUAGCAUUAAUGUUACAUGAUCUUAAGCAUAAAUGUAUAGAACAUCUAAUUAUCAUAUGAGACCAGUUUGAGGAUCUUACUGUCAUUGGGAGUAGCUUUUGGUUAGGUGAAGCGAGGUUCCACACUCGUUUGAUGUAGGAUUGACGAGUAGGGGCUCGCUGCUGGUACCAGCGAUGAAACCCAUGCGUGACAUUACUGCAUUAUCUGUCUACAUAAGAGAAGAAGAUGAUCUAAAGGCGAUAAAACCUUUCCGACAUUAUAUGGAAAAAGGACAGGAGCCUGGUUUAAGGGCAUCUUUGGUUUGGCCUCAUCAUCAAAUGUAUGUUGUGAGCUACCGGAGUUUCUGUUGAGUGGCUAAAGUACACACGUGAAGAUGAUGUUGAGCUUGACCAUAAGAGAUCGAAAACUACAGUGAUAGAGGGUGACGAUGAUAUGCAGAUGGACAACAAGCUAGCUCCGUGUGUCACAGAGUGAGCAUAGUUCAGCAGAAUGUGAACAACUUCUAAGCUGCAGUUCUUGUAAUAUGUUUUUUGUACGGAAUACUUGUUAAAGUAUAUUUGUGAGGAAUUCUGGCUCAAAAUUGACCAUAAGUGUGAUUGCAUGUGUUCAUUGAUAAUCUCAUCUGUAUGAUGAAUUUUGAAUGCAACUUAUAAAUUUGAAUAAUGGAUCUAAAUUUGAUUA